Molecule: ribosomal RNA, 439 nt
Filed under: uncultured bacterium
Lineage: Bacteria
Description: partial 16S ribosomal RNA
Rfam family: Bacterial small subunit ribosomal RNA
Source: RNAcentral
CUACGGGAGGCUCCAGUGAGGAAUAUUGCACAAUGGGGGAAACCCUGAUGCAGCAACGCCGCGUGGAGGAUGACGCAUUUCGGUGUGUAAACUCCUUUUAUAUGUCAAGAAAAUGACGGUAGCAUAUGAAUAAGCACCGGCUAACUCCGUGCCAGCAGCCGCGGUAAUACGGAGGGUGCAAGCGUUACUCGGAAUCACUGGGCGUAAAGGACGCGUAGGCUGGUUGGUAAGUCAGGUGUGAAAUCCUACAGCUUAACUGUAGAACUGCACUUGAAACUACCAACCUAGAGUAUGGGAGGGGGAGAUGGAAUUAGUGGUGUAGGGGUAAAAUCCGUAGAUAUCACUAGGAAUACCGAAAGCGAAGGCGAUCUCCUGGAACAUAACUGACGCUAAGGCGUGAAAGCGUGGGGAGCAAACAGGAUUAGAUACCCGGGUAGUC